RNAcentral lists this ribosomal RNA (513 nucleotides) under Leptolyngbya boryana DRL_15. RNAcentral's name for it is "bacterial SSU rRNA". It matches the Rfam family "Bacterial small subunit ribosomal RNA", at positions 158 to 704 of the family's 1533-position model. The record is from RNAcentral. Lineage: Bacteria; Bacillati; Cyanobacteriota; Cyanophyceae; Leptolyngbyales; Leptolyngbyaceae.
GACUGCUAAUACCGAAUGUGCCUACGGGUGAAAGAUUUAUCGUCGAUAGAUUGGCUCGCGUCAGAUUAGCUAGUUGGUGAGGUAAAGGCUCACCAAGGCGACGAUCUGUAACUGGUCUGAGAGGAUGACCAGUCACACUGGAACUGAGACACGGUCCAGACUCCUACGGGAGGCAGCAGUGGGGAAUUUUCCGCAAGGGGCGAAAGCCUGACGGAGCAAUACCGCGUGUGGGAGGACGCUUUUUGGAGUGUAAACCACUUUUAUUAGGGAAGAAGAACUGACGGUACCUAAUGAAUCAGCAUCGGCUAACUCCGUGCCAGCAGCCGCGGUAAUACGGGGGAUGCAAGCGUUAUCCGGAAUUAUUGGGCGUAAAGCGUCCGUAGGUGGCUUAUCAAGUCUGUUGUCAAAGCGUGCGGCUUAACCGCAUACGGGCAAUGGAAACUGAUGAGCUAGAGUGCGAUAGGGGUCAGGGGAAUUCCCGGUGUAGCGGUGAAAUGCGUAGAUAUCGGGAAG